GACCAAUCAAGCACGGCUUGGUGUUGGGGCUCGCCGUCUGGCGGCCCUUAAAAACAGUGGCGGUGCCGUCUGGCUCUCAGCGUAGUAACUAAUCUCGCUGUUGGGUCUCGCGGUUGCUUGCCAACAACCCCUAAUUUACUCA
This 142-nucleotide unclassified non-coding RNA is filed under the name uncultured Rhizoscyphus. RNAcentral's name for it is "sequence contains ITS2". The record is from RNAcentral. Lineage: Eukaryota; Fungi; Ascomycota; Leotiomycetes; Helotiales; Helotiaceae.